UGGGCUAUCGCCAAGUGGCAAGGCACAGCACUUUGACUGCUGUAUUCGCGGGUUCGAAUCCCGCUAGCCUAG
Molecule: transfer RNA, 72 nt
Filed under: Caudoviricetes sp.
Lineage: Duplodnaviria; Heunggongvirae; Uroviricota; Caudoviricetes
Description: tRNA-Gln
Rfam family: tRNA
About the family: Transfer RNA (tRNA) molecules are approximately 80 nucleotides in length. Their secondary structure includes four short double-helical elements and three loops (D, anti-codon, and T loops). Further hydrogen bonds mediate the characteristic L-shaped molecular structure. tRNAs have two regions of fundamental functional importance: the anti-codon, which is responsible for specific mRNA codon recognition, and the 3' end, to which the tRNAs corresponding amino acid is attached (by aminoacyl-tRNA synthetases). tRNAs cope with the degeneracy of the genetic code in two manners: having more than one tRNA (with a specific anti-codon) for a particular amino acid; and 'wobble' base-pairing, i.e. permitting non-standard base-pairing at the 3rd anti-codon position.
Source: RNAcentral